Molecule: ribosomal RNA, 247 nt
Filed under: Klebsiella pneumoniae
Lineage: Bacteria; Pseudomonadati; Pseudomonadota; Gammaproteobacteria; Enterobacterales; Enterobacteriaceae
Description: partial 23S ribosomal RNA
Rfam family: Bacterial large subunit ribosomal RNA
Source: RNAcentral
UGUUUCGGCUAGGGGGUCAUCCCGACUUACCAACCCGAUGCAAACUACGAAUACCGAAGAAUGUUAUCACGGGAGACACACGGCGGGUGCUAACGUCCGUCGUGAAGAGGGAAACAACCCAGACCGCCAGCUAAGGUCCCAAAGUCAUGGUUAAGUGGGAAACGAUGUGGGAAGGCACAGACAGCCAGGAUGUUGGCUUAGAAGCAGCCAUCAUUUAAAGAAAGCGUAAUAGCUCACUGGUCGAGUC